RNAcentral lists this ribosomal RNA (892 nucleotides) under uncultured bacterium. RNAcentral's name for it is "bacterial SSU rRNA". It matches the Rfam family "Bacterial small subunit ribosomal RNA", at positions 60 to 920 of the family's 1533-position model. The record is from RNAcentral.
AGUCGACGGGAAGAAUGAAGAGCUUGCUCUUUAUGAAAUCCAGUGGCAAACGGGUGAGUAACACGUAAACAACCUGCCUUCAGGAUGGGGACAACAGACGGAAACGACUGCUAAUACCGAAUACGAUUCUUGAGUCGCAUGACACAAGAAAGAAAGGGUGGCCUCUACUUGUAAGCUAUCGCCUGAAGAGGGGUUUGCGUCCGAUUAGGUAGUUGGUGAGGUAACGGCCCACCAAGCCGACGAUCGGUAGCCGGUCUGAGAGGAUGAACGGCCACAUUGGAACUGAGACACGGUCCAGACUCCUACGGGAGGCAGCAGUGGGGAAUCUUCCGCAAUGGGCGAAAGCCUGACGGAGCAACGCCGCGUGAGUGAAGACGGCCUUCGGGUUGUAAAACUCUGUGAUUCGGGACGAAAGAUAAGUAGACGAAUAAUCUGCAUAAGUGACGGUACCGAAAAAGCAAGCCACGGCUAACUACGUGCCAGCAGCCGCGGUAAUACGUAGGUGGCAAGCGUUGUCCGGAAUUAUUGGGCGUAAAGCGCGCGCAGGCGGCUACUUAAGUCCAUCUUAAAAGUGCGGGGCUUAACCCCGUGAUGGGAUGGAAACUGAGAAGCUGGAGUGUCGGAGAGGAAAGUGGAAUUCCUAGUGUAGCGGUGAAAUGCGUAGAGAUUAGGAAGAACACCGGUGGCGAAGGCGACUUUCUGGACGGCAACUGACGCUUAGGCGCGAAAGCGUGGGGAGCAAACAGGAUUAGAUACCCUGGUAGUCCACGCCGUAAACGAUGGAUACUAGGUGUAGGAGGUAUCGACCCCUUCUGUGCCGGAGUUAACGCAAUAAGUAUCCCGCCUGGGAAGUACGAUCGCAAGAUUAAAACUCAAAGGAAUUGACGGGGGC